RNAcentral lists this ribosomal RNA (429 nucleotides) under bacterium. Its description in RNAcentral is "partial 16S ribosomal RNA". It matches the Rfam family "Bacterial small subunit ribosomal RNA", at positions 355 to 776 of the family's 1533-position model. The record is from RNAcentral.
UAGGGAAUCUUCGGCAAUGGGGGCAACCCUGACCGAGCAACGCCGCGUGAGUGAAGAAGGUUUUCGGAUCGUAAAGCUUUGUUGUAAGAGAAGAACGUGUGUGAGAGUGGAAAGUUCACACAGUGACGGUAACUUACCAGAAAGGGACGGCUAACUACGUGCCAGCAGCCGCGGUAAUACGUAGGUCCCGAGCGUUGUCCGGAUUUAUUGGGCGUAAAGCGAGCGCAAGCGAUUUAAUAAGUCUGAAGUUAAAGGCAGUGGCUUAACCAUUGUUCGCUUUGGAAACUGUUAAACUUGAGUGCAGAAGGGGAGAGUGGAAUUCCAUGUGUAGCGGUGAAAUGCGUAGAUAUAUGGAGGAACACCGGUGGCGAAAGCGGCUCUCUGGUCUGUAACUGACGCUGAGGCUCGAAAGCGUGGGGAGCAAACAGG